GAUGAACGCUGGCGGCGUGCCUAAUACAUGCGAGUCGAGCGAACAGACGAGGAGCUUGCUCCUCUGACGUUAGCGGCGGACGGGUGAGUAACACGUGGAUAACCUACCUAUAAGACUGGGAUAACUUCGGGAAACCGGAGCUAAUACCGGAUAAUAUAUUGAACCGCAUGGUUCAAUAGUGAAAGACGGUUUUGCUGUCACUUAUAGAUGGAUCCGCGCCGCAUUAGCUAGUUGGUAAGGUAACGGCUUACCAAGGCAACGAUGCGUAGCCGACCUGAGAGGGUGAUCGGCCACACUGGAACUGAGACACGGUCCAGACUCCUACGGGAGGCAGCAGUAGGGAAUCUUCCGCAAUGGGCGAAAGCCUGACGGAGCAACGCCGCGUGAGUGAUAAAGGUCUUCGGAUCGUAAAACUCUGUUAUUAGGGAAGAACAAAUGUGUAAGUAACUAUGCACGUCUUGACGGUACCUAAUCAGAAAGCCACGGCUAACUACGUG
This 497-nucleotide ribosomal RNA is filed under the name uncultured bacterium. RNAcentral's name for it is "partial 16S ribosomal RNA". It matches the Rfam family "Bacterial small subunit ribosomal RNA", at positions 28 to 507 of the family's 1533-position model. The record is from RNAcentral.